Molecule: non-coding RNA, 29 nt
Filed under: Mus musculus (house mouse)
Lineage: Eukaryota; Metazoa; Chordata; Mammalia; Rodentia; Muridae
Source: RNAcentral
UUACCCAGGAACUUUCAACACAUUACAGU